This 16-nucleotide small RNA is filed under the name Mycobacterium tuberculosis H37Rv. RNAcentral's name for it is "npcR 7477". The record is from RNAcentral. Lineage: Bacteria; Bacillati; Actinomycetota; Actinomycetes; Mycobacteriales; Mycobacteriaceae.
CGUUGUACGCCUUGCA